This 1302-nucleotide ribosomal RNA is filed under the name Levensteiniella iris. Its description in RNAcentral is "16S ribosomal RNA". The stretch from base 832 to 1172 matches the Rfam family "Archaeal large subunit ribosomal RNA", at positions 2150 to 2716 of the family's 2987-position model. Lineage: Eukaryota; Metazoa; Annelida; Polychaeta; Phyllodocida; Polynoidae. The record is from RNAcentral.
CAAAUCUAUUCUCCUAUCUAACUUACUCCUAAAUCAUUACAAUUCUAAACUCGUGAUCUACCCUUUAUUAUCAUUCACUGCAAAGUUAAUCCCAACUUAUCUCUCAGUCUAUCACCCUAGUACCUUUUGCAUCAUGGCUUAGCAAGAUCCAUAGAAAUCCUUUAACCCCGAAACUAGACGAGCUAAUCCCUUUUUGUUAAGAACCCAAAUCUUAUUAUUUCAUCAAUAUAUUAAAAAAAGGCCUUAGAGGCUACAUACCUACCGCGUCUAGUAAUAGCUGGUUGCCUCCUUAAUUUAUUUAAGUAAAAUUAUCUACUUUUAGAUAAACUACUCUUACUGGGAUAAGCCAGUAAGUUCAAUCUAUUUACUACUAAAGACCACCCUCUUUAUAGGCUUUAAAUCAGCCAAUAAUUCUAAAAUUCGUCCUAGAAUAUUUCCUAUCCCCCCCUUAAAAUUCUAAUUUAUAAUGCUGUUUCCUGGAAGCAAUUUUGUUUAACCUAAAAUCAUAAUAUAAAAUGCUAAGAUUAGUAUUAUUUUACUCUACCUAACCCCAACUAAACCAUUUCCUAUUUAAUUAUCCCUAUAUAACAGUAAUAAACUCUGCAAUCCCUGAUUUCGACUGUUUACCAAAAACAUUGCUUUUAGUCUCCUUAUUAAAAGUACAUCCUGCCCAGUGACUCUUAUUUCAACGGCCGCGGUAUCCUAACCGUGCAAAGGUAGCAUAAUCACUUGCCUUUUAAUGGAAGGCUGGAAUGAACGGAUAAACGCAACUCAAACUCUAUCACUGUUAACCCUAAAACUUAGACUCUAGGUGAAGAUACCUAGAUCACAAUGAAAGACAAGAAGACCCUAUAGAGUUUUAGUCUAAUAUAUUCUCCCCACUCCCCUAGACUUUGGUUGGGGCGACCUAGGAUUUAUACCCACAUCCUUCUUACCCUAAGAUCUAUCCAUCCUUUAAAUGAUCCUACCACAAGACAUUAAAACAAACUACCUUAGGGAUAACAGGCUUAUCUUCCUAAAAAGUCCAAAUUGACAGGAAGGUCUGGCACCUCGAUGUUGGCUUAGAGUAACCUUAUAAUGCAAAAGUUAUAAUAGGUCGGUUUGUUCAACCGUUAAACCUCUACAUGAGCUGAGUUCAGACCGGCGUAAGCCAGGUUAGAUUCUAUCUUCAUUUCACUAAAUUGAGGGUGUUAGUACGAAAGGACCACACAUCUCUAAUUUUAUUAACUAAACGACACAAUCUAAUACACUAUCCUACUAAAAUUCUUCUAAAUACACAAAUUUGUAAAUAAACCUUAUAUU